UUCCGGUUGAUCCCGCCGGAGGCUACCGCUAUUGGAGUUCGAUUAAGCCAUGCGAGUCGCGAGUCUUAGGGACUCGGCGUACCGCUCAGUAACACGUGGGUAACCUGCCCUAUGCUGGGGGAUAACCUCGGGAAACUGAGAAUAAUACCCCAUAGUUCACCACGCCUGGAACGGUGGGUGGAUCAAAGCUCCGGCGGCAUAGGAUGGGCCUGCGGCGUAUCAGGUUGUAGGGGGUGUAAUGUACCCUCUAGCCCUCUACGCGUACGGGUGUUGAGAGACAUCGCCCGGAGAUGGAUUCUGAGACACGAAUCCAGACCCUACGGGGUGCAGCAGGCGCGAAAACUUGGCAAUGCGAGAAAUCGUGACCAGGGAACUCCAAGUGCAUCGGGUAAGACCGAUGCUUUUCUUGACUCUUCAAAGGUCUUGGAAUAAGGGGUGGGUAAGGACGGUGCCAGCCGCCGCGGUAAUACCGGCGCCCCAAGUGGUAGUCGCUUUUAUUGGGCCUAAAACGUCCGUAGCCGGUCUGGUACAUUCGUGGGUAAAUCAACCAGCUCAACUGGUUGAAUUCUGCGAGCACGGCCAGACUUGGGACCGGGAGAGGUGUGGGGUACUCUCAGGGUAGGGGUAAAAUCCUGUCAUCCUGAGAGGACCACCUGUUGCGAAGGCGCCACACUAGAACGGAUCCGACGGUCAGGGACGAAGCCUAGGGGCACGAACCGGAUUAGAUACCCGGGUAGUCCUAGGUGUAAACGCUGUGGACUUGAUGUUGGGGGCGCUCCGAGCGCACUCAGUGUCGAAGCGAAGGUGAUAAGUCCACUGCCUGGGGAGUACGGUCGCAAGGCUGAAACUUAAAGGAAUUGGCGGGGGAGCACCGCAACCUGAGGAUUGUGCGGUUUAAUUGGAUUCAACGCCGGA
This 915-nucleotide ribosomal RNA is filed under the name uncultured marine archaeon. RNAcentral describes it as "bacterial SSU rRNA". It matches the Rfam family "Archaeal small subunit ribosomal RNA", at positions 1 to 922 of the family's 1478-position model. The record is from RNAcentral.